CCUACGGGAGGCUGCAGUGAGGAAUAUUGGUCAAUGGCCGGAAGGCUGAACCAGCCAAGCCGCGUGAAGGACGAAGGUGCCAAGCAUUGUAAACUUCUUUUGUCAAGGGACAAAAUCAGGCUCGAGAGCCUGACCGAGGGUCCUUGAAGAAAAAGCAUCGGCGAACUCCGUGCCAGCAGCCGCGGUAAUACGGAGGAUGCGACCGUUAUCCGGUUUUAUGGGGUUUAAAGGGUGCGUAGGCGGGCUGUUAAGUCAGCGGUAAAAGCCCGGGGCUCAACACCGGCGAGCCGUUGAAACUGGGUGUCUUGAGAUGGCGAGAGGUAUGCGGAAUGCGCAGUGUAGCGGUGAAAUGCUUAGAUAUUGCGCAGAACUCCGAUUGCGAAGGCAGCAUACCGGCGGCGAUCUGACGCUGAGGCACGAAAGCGUGGGUAUCGAACAGGAUUAGAUACCCGAGUAGUC
RNAcentral lists this ribosomal RNA (459 nucleotides) under uncultured bacterium. Its description in RNAcentral is "partial 16S ribosomal RNA". It matches the Rfam family "Bacterial small subunit ribosomal RNA", at positions 338 to 795 of the family's 1533-position model. The record is from RNAcentral.